AACGAACGUUAGCGGCGCGCCUAACACAUGCAGGUCGCACGAGAAAGGGCUUCGGCCCCGUACAGUGGCGCACGGUGAGUAACACGUAGAUCAUCUCCCCUCCGAGUGGUGGAUAACUCUCCGAAAGGAGAGCUAAUACAGCAUAAGACCACGGCUUCGUUGAAGCUGCGGCCAAAGACAGGCCUCUACACGUAAGCUUGCGCUUGAGGAUGAGUCUGCGGCCCCAUCAGCUAGUUGGUAGGGUAAUGGCCUACCAAGGCUAAGACGGGUAGCUGGUCUGAGAGGAUGAACAGCCACACUGGAACUGAGACACGGUCCAGACUCCUACGGGAGGGCAGCAGUGGGGAAUCUUGCGCAAUGGGCGAAAGCCUGACGCAGCGACGCCGCGUGAGCGAUGAAGGCCUUCGGGUUGUAAAGCUCU
This 421-nucleotide ribosomal RNA is filed under the name uncultured bacterium. RNAcentral's name for it is "bacterial SSU rRNA". It matches the Rfam family "Bacterial small subunit ribosomal RNA", at positions 29 to 434 of the family's 1533-position model. The record is from RNAcentral.